AGAUUGAUCUCUGUCACUGCUCAAGGAAGGUCCGCUCCAGCCUUUCUGCCCGGAGCCAAUCAGCCCUGCCUGCCAAGCCACUCCUUCCCUGCACCUUUAACGGUUGGGAGCCGGGAAACGUCGGCUGGGGUUUUCUUCUUAAGAAGUCGCACCGGUUUUUCGAGCUCCGCUCUGCGUCUGGAGGGCUACAGCAGCGGGAGCGGGUGCCGCCGGGUGAGUCACUGUUUGGAAAUGGAGUGGGCGGGCGAGGGUGUGAGAGAAUGAAUGAUGUCUGGAGCCCCAGCUGAGAGCGGGUAAGGAGCGCCCGAGAGGCUGGCGGGGGAGGAUGGGCUGAAAAGCGGCGCGGCGGGCGUAGCGCGGGUGCGCGAGGGUGGACUGAGAACGCGGACGUGGCUCUAAUUCGGCCCCCAAGCGCCCCGCCCCAGGGCAUCCUUCCUUGAUUUUGCCUGAUUAAGGAUGGACGGUGUAGCUUCGUCUCCUUCUCUGAGCAUUAGCCUCAUUCAUUUGCAACCAUUUCAGGUAACUAGGUCCUGGCGUUGGAAAGACACAGAUUGAACCUAGAUUGUCCAGAGCCACUCUGGAGGUCAGGGUUGAAGUUCAGGACGUGGAGGAGGGACUGUCUCUGAGCUUUUUUGAGAGGCACUUACUGAUGAUGUGUGAACCGUGAUAGCCCAGCUCUGAGCUGCCACACUGAAAUAUUUCAGCGUUUGGCAUUCUAGAGCUGCUCCCCUUAAGGGAAAGGAGCCUUGGUGUUUCAGCGCAAGUAGGUGGAAAUGGAUCUGUCUACCUCUCUGAGAUAUGGAUAAUGGUUAAUAGCCCGUGGCUACGUCUUGAAACAAUGCACAUGUUAUGGUCUGUAAUUUUUUUAUAUCAGUCUGCCAUUCUUCUAUUUCAUCUUGCCUGCUUUAAUAUGAUCUUAACAUCAUUUUGACAUGUAUGUUACGUUUUUGAAGAGAUUCAACUGUUUAGUGUCUCUAGGUGGGCGUGGAUUUUGAACUUAACUUUUGAAAUCCUUGGUUUCACUCCUAGUCUCAUCUAUAAACUGUGGGUUCUCAGUCAGUGACAUUAAACCUCUGAACCAAUAAAAUGGGACUAUAACUACUUCAGAGCACAGUAAUGAGGAUUAAAGGUCAGAGGACCUCUCAUAAUGUCAGGCACAAAGCAGACCUGAACAAAUUUUAACAGUUUGUAUAUGAAUAAACAGUGUGUUCAGCCGGCUUGGGUAAUCACCAGUUAAUUUUCACAAAAUUUCCUACUUAUAAACCUGGUGGGCUGAGGUUUAGCAUGUGGAAUCCUUUGGCAAGUUCCUCAGAGUCUGAAGUGAUGUCUUCAGGAAGUUAAAGGCUUCUGUGUGAACACCUGAAAAGAUUUUUGGUUUCCACUCCAUAUCAGGGGAACUGCCAUUCACUGUUUAGACAGAGUUAGAGUAGUGGCAGAAAUUGACAAAAGGGAUUUGGAGGAAGAUUGGAACUCUCUAACUUUACCCUUAAUUUUUUUUUUUUUUUCCUUUUUAAAAAAUAAGCGGUCCUUGGUAUGCUGCUGUUUUGGUUGAAGUGUUGUUUUGUUUUGUUUUGUUUUAAAUGAGUUAAUAUUUAAUUUGUUUUCGCUAGUUUCAUUUUUAAGUAAAGCUGGUUGACUUCUGACCUUAGAGGGAAACACAUGGACACCUUUGGGUUGCUGCCUCCUGUCAGUUUCUCUUUUCAUGGAAUCUUAUAAAAGCCCCUAGGAAAUAUUUGGAGGGAUAGGGAGCAUUUGCCCAGGUAUUAUUGAAAACAUUUGUUCUUACUGUACUUGCAACAACUUUUAGGGUUAAAGGUCACAGGGAAAAAAAUUUUUUUUUUCACAGUGUAAUUUAGAGAUCUUGGGCAUCAGAAUCCAGAAGACCUCAGGCUAUCUGAGUGGUAACUUGCUGGCUGUGUUACUUUGCGCAAUUAAACCCUCUGGAAUUCUUGUGGAACUUUAAACAAAAUAUAGGGAAGAAGCAGAAAUAAUCAUACAUCUAUUAAAAUAGACAGUGAGAACUUUUUAACGAAGCGAUACUUUGAAGUGAGAUAUUGUUCUUUUAAGGAAGGAUUACUGAGAAUUCUAGACAGUUUCAGACUAGAGUAGCCUGUCCAACUUUAUCUAAUCUUAUGGGGGAUUUGAAGCCUCUAUCCUGAAUUACUGAUAUCAUUUAUUCAGUUGGUGAACAUUUAGUGAGCACCUACUAUAUUCCAGCCACAAUGCUAGGUACUAGCAAUGCUAAGAUGAAGGAUGCACUGGGAACUGCAAUGGCAGAAAAAUCCCCUCAUCUUUGAUUAUGGAGAGGAAAAAAAGAGUCAAAAAGAAGGACAGGGGUAGGGAGUUGGGAGGAAACUAGAAGUGGUUAGGCUGUGAUUGGCUACCUCCCACUGAUAAUUUGAGAUCUUCUGGCUUUGUAAUGGGUAUUGAAUUGGAGCUUCUAAGUUCUGAGGCUGAACACUCCAAGUAUGCCUUGCUUUACCCAAUAAAAAUAUUAUAGACAAAUUUAGCCCUUAAGUUAAAUAACUUUAAAUUUAGAGCAAACUAGUUUCAGUGAAAUCUAAAGGGUAAAAUCAGUUUGGCUAAGAUUUAUGUACUGUGAGCAAAGAAAGCACUGUUGUAGAUUUUUAAAAGAAUAAUCACUGUUAGUAGCAUUUCAUUUAUUUUUCCCCAUAUUAUAAGUAGUAUGUUACUUGUAGAAGUUUAAAAGUACAAGGUAAACAAGUUCACCACCACCCAGAAAAUCACUUAGUGUUACAUCCACAGAGUCUUUCUCACCUCUAGAGAAGUACUGUAUACGUAUUGUGUUUACUGUGGUCCAGGCAACGUGCCACUAUUUUACAUAUACACCAAAUCUCCUGUUAUCCUCACUCCAGCCCUAUGAGGUAGAUGCGAUUAUGGAGGAAAAGACUGAUUUAGAGAAAUUAAAUAACUGUCCUGAAGUUACAAGCUAGAAAAUUGUUCUCUACAAAACUAGGUUCGUUCUCCACAUCCUGUUUUCUAACUUUUUUUCACCCACAUAUGGGCAUCUCUAUCACUAAAAUACAUUUAAACAACAUCUUUUAUAGUUUUCAAUUGUAUGGCUGUAUCUCGAUUUAAUCAAUCUCUUGUUGUUGGAUAGUUUCCAGUUCUCUCUAUUUUAAACAACUCUGCACUGAGUAUCCUUCUAGCUAUAGCGCACAUCCAUGAUUAUUGUAGUCUUUUUUUUUUUUUUUUUUUUUUUUUUUAAUGGUUGCACCAACUGCAAAUGAAAGUUCCUGGGUCAGGGAUCAAACCCAAGCCUCUGCACCUAGGGUCAGGUUCUUAGCCCACUGUGCCACAACGGGGACUCCUAUUUUAGUCAUUUCUUUGCAUUGCAUUUUAAAAAGUGAAUUAUUAUGAUCUUUAAUUUACCUGCCUUUUUAAAAAGGCAUAUUCAGAAUUAGAAAACUUUCUCUUUUCUCUCAAAGAUUUGUUCUAAUUUCUGUGUUCCUUUAGUGUUCCUCUUAAGAUUUCAGCAAUAGGAUCAACAUUCUCUGUGGGGCUGCACAAUAGGUCAGUAGCUCGUUACUCAAGGGAUUUAUCUGAUGAAAACCGGAACACGGAGACUUUCUUAAAGAACUAUUUGUGUUUGUAUUAUUGUUAUUGGCCAUAAAGCUGAACUUCUUUUGUGGGGAAAUACAGCAGAAUGGAGCAGUGCUAACUUUACCAGGCAGAAGGGAAAUUCUACUUCUACAGUUUGCCUCCUUAGUACCCAGUAGGAUAGACAAGUUACAUUUUGCAGAUAUUGCAUUUAGCAGAUUUAUCGUUCAGGUUUAGAAUAAAUGCCAUCACUUUUAAAUAGGUUACCUUAAAAAAAAAAUCUCUUGUUUGCACUCCUGAAAAGUGUAUUAUAGGUGAGACAUUUUCCAGUUGAUUUAAUGAAAGGGCAAGAAAUACCCAUUAGCUAGUUUUCAUUAUAAGUAUAAAGCAUUUCUUCAUUUAAGCAUUUCUCAAGUUUUACUAAAAUAGACCGUUUUUGCUAUCCUGAGUCAAAAUUUUACUUUUAUUUUAGGUUUGUCUUUCCAUUUCCAAUACUAAUUACUUUAUUCUUAGGUUUGGUUUGUUUGUUUGGGGCUGCACCCUGGCUAGGGAUCAAAUUCACACCAUAGCAGUGACCCAAGCCACUGCAGUGACAACGUAGGCUCCUUAACCGUCUGUGCCACAUGGGAACACCAUCAUGGUUUUGAUGUUGGAAUAUGAGUGGUGUUCAGGUCAGCAUCUUCCUACAGAAACCCAGAUCAGGUCAAUGUAUUGAUUCCUAACAAUGACUUUUAAUUCAAAACAGAAUUUGAAGAAACAGGAAAUAAAAUUAAAGUAUAGGGAGUUCCCACUGCGGCUCAGCUGGCUACAAACCCGACUGGUGUCCAUGAGGAUUUGGGUUUGAUCCCUGGCCUCGCUCAGUGGGUUAAGGAUCUGGUGUUGCCAUGAGCUGUGGUAUAGGUCGCAGAUGCAGCUCAGAUCCCAUGUGGCUUUGGCUUGGCUGUGUCUGGCAGCUGCAGCUGCAAUUCGAUCCCUAGCC
Molecule: long non-coding RNA, 4540 nt
Filed under: Sus scrofa (pig)
Lineage: Eukaryota; Metazoa; Chordata; Mammalia; Artiodactyla; Suidae
Description: lncRNA (ENSSSCG00030003043.1)
Source: RNAcentral